GAUGAACGCUGGCGGCGUGCCUAAUACAUGCAAGUCGAGCGAACAGACGAGGAGCUUGCUCCUCUGACGUUAGCGGCGGACGGGUGAGUAACACGUGGAUAACCUACCUAUAAGACUGGGAUAACUUCGGGAAACCGGAGCUAAUACCGGAUAAUAUAUUGAACCGCAUGGUUCAAUAGUGAAAGACGGUUUUGCUGUCACUUAUAGAUGGAUCCGCGCCGAAUUAGCUAGUUGGUAAGGUAACGGCUUACCAAGGCAACGAUGCGUAGCCGACCUGAGAGGGUGAUCGGGCACACUGGAACUGAGACACGGUCCAGACUCCUACGGGAGGCAGCAGUAGGGAAUCUUCCGCAAUGGGCGAAAGCCUGACGGAGCAACGCCGCGUGAGUGAUGAAGGUCUUCGGAUCGUAAAACUCUGUUAUUAGGGAAGAACAAAUGUGUAAGUAACUAUGCACGUCUUGACGGUACCUAAUCAGAAAGCCACGGCUAACUACGUG
RNAcentral lists this ribosomal RNA (497 nucleotides) under uncultured bacterium. Its description in RNAcentral is "partial 16S ribosomal RNA". It matches the Rfam family "Bacterial small subunit ribosomal RNA", at positions 28 to 507 of the family's 1533-position model. The record is from RNAcentral.